Folsomia candida is the source of this 1944-nucleotide long non-coding RNA. RefSeq lists it as uncharacterized. NCBI's taxonomy places the organism in Eukaryota, Metazoa, Arthropoda, Collembola, Entomobryomorpha, Isotomidae. The record is from RefSeq and is a predicted model, not a curated record. The transcript has 4 exons.
UACACGUAAAGACAAUAAAUAAAUGUUGCGUAUGUACUAUGUAUAGUUUGAGACAGACUUUUGUAAACUAAAAACUUCACUUCAGUGGCCGUAUUCACAACACAGGGUAACCCGGAAAGUUACCCAAAUUUUCACUUACCCCAUUCACAAAUUUAGGUUACCUCAAAAAGUAACCUAAAAAGUUACCUUUUUCUUCAUUUUACCCCGGUUUCUGAAUGGUUUCAUUCAGAGCACAAAGUAAAAAAUAAGUUACACUCAAAAGUAACCCAAAGUAAGCAAAAUUUCUCCCCUGCUCCGAGGCAGGGUUAAAAUCAAUAUUACCUCAUUUUCCAUCUCCAAAACAUAGUUUCUCGCUCCAUUAAAUUUCAUAAAAUUGUCCAUCUACUUAAUUAUAACUCAAACUAAUUGGUUUUGUGUGUUGUAAUAAGCAAAUAUAAGAUUUAGUGAAGCUGAAAUAAAAUUUGUGUCAAGGUGUUAGCUGCCACGGCCGAAUAAUUCAAUAUAAAUAUUGGAAGUAUAAUUUUUACUGCAAUAAUAUUGAGUUUAGCGACUUGUUUGAGUCUAAUUUUGAUCAAGACUCGGCAAUUCUGACAGCGGAUGGAAUAUAUUAAAAUUGUGCGAAGCGAAUAAUAAUCCCAGAACAGUCAUUUCUUAUCUUCUCACUUCGUUAAGUUUUUAAUUGAUGUGGAAUUGAUUCAUCGAGAGGAAUACUAUUUAAUAAUAAAGUUAACUAUUUCCUAUAUUGAAGUGUAUAGCAUUACGCAGAAACUAUCUGACCAAUUAGAGGAAUAUAAGCCAAUUAACAACGACGAACGAAAAUAGUGCGGCAGGUUUAUGCUUAUUUUUGGCUACGAAGCAAAAAAAUUUAUGGACGAAGGAAAUUUUUAGAAAAUACUUCACAGAUUUAGAAAUUCAGAAAGUUUGGUAUUGGUAAAUAUUAAUUUAAAAUCCCAGUGGCCGUGACACGCUGCAACUUCUCUAAUUUACCAAUCUAUUCAGAAGACAAAGUAUCGCCGAGGGUUGAAGCAGGUUUAUUCCGUCAACCAAUUGACAAGACUGGUGGGACUUUUUUGCACAACUAAUAAAGAAAUUCCACUCACUGAAGACGGGCACCAUGGGAUAACAUUGUGAUUCCAAAUUUGGAAGACCACCCACUGCCACCACCACAAACUCGUUAGAGAGCUCAACGACAACGCCACCACUUCGAAGAUUCCUUGUAAUUACGCCAAAGUUUGAGGAUGGGCGACGAUAUUCUCAGUGUGAAAAGAUGGCCCUCAUCGAAGCUGUAAAAGAUAGACAUGAUGCCUCUUUGAAAAAUUGAAAACGAACUUGACGAGACAAAACAAAACAUUGGAUGAAGCUCUGGCUGCAGGAAAUGCGGUUUUGGCAGUGACACGGACUUGGAGGAGACGCAAGAAAAAUUUAAGAAUAUGACGAAGAGAAAAGGCCAACGCAUCUAGCAAAAAGUAGGAAACAAUGAAAACUGGGGGAGGGGAUGAUGAGGAAAUGUGGUUUCAAAACGUUCAGAUGACCCUCUAGGCUGCUACGAUGAUAGGAAUAUUUGGUGGAGUCAUUCUACCAGGCCGUGACAUGUCGAGAGGCAACAUUCAUGAGGUUUCAGUCGAACAUUCGAAAUGCAGGAUUAUCGUACUGGCGUUGUAAUUAAUGGCGACGAAUCUGCUGUAGCUCGCUUCGACAGAAAUACAUAAAUAGGUUAGCCAAGUCGAGUUUAAGAGGUCUAAGAAUACAACUGAUCUAAAUUAACGUAAUUUUCUGUGUAACGGCCAAUUUGUGUUAAUACUAGUAAUUAAAUUUAGAGUAGAUAUAAAUAGAACAUGUUGAUGAUUUUAUUUUAAAUCCUAAAUUAUGUCAAUUUCUGUGUAACGGCCAAACUGUGUCAAUGCCAGUAAUUAAGAGACAAUAAAUUGUGAUUUAAUGAAUGUA